CGCCGCUGUCAACAUGUGCAUGUGAAAACGAAAGUAGAUUGUUUAUCUAGGAAUUAUUACAACAUUUUACCCUUCUACGUUGAAUUUUUAAGAUAUAAAAGUAUGAAUAUUGAGAUGAUUAUUUAGUUACCUUCAACUGGUCAGUGGCCAAAAGGGAGUAUUUCUGUGUGCCUUGAAGCAUUUAAUGCCCCAAAACAACCAGUAUGAUAAGAAGACCAGAGUAUACAGCUUCCCAAAAUGUUGAAAGACUAAGUUGUUUUUCUAUGGACUUUUAAGUAUUUUGAAUGUUUGAUUUCUCUUUCUUUUAACCUUAUGAUUGAAUAUUUCAUUUCAAUUAGUCAUGACACUUUUUCUAGUAAUUUGCAUCUACAUUUCAACAUGUUUACGCAUUUUGUUUACACAGAAAGAUAUUUUUUACUUCUUUCAUUCUAGGUAUACUGUCUAGGUUGAAAACAGCCACAGACAAUGAAUUUGGAGGUGCAUGCUGGAGCAUCAGAAAUUACAUACUUGGAAUGAAUAAUUGCACAAUACACAUUUACUUAGAAGUGACUAAUGUUUAUGUUAAAGUGCAAUAUCCAUAUUUGUAACAUUUACUUGGGGGUAAUAGUUACAGUGUUGAAAGAGGCUGCCAGUGUUACAUUUCAGUCUAAGUUACAGUGUGGGUGCUAAUUCUAAAUUCUUGAUAAUCAAGUGCUUUUAAUAACUUAUGAAUACUAAUUAUUUAUCAAACUGUUUAAUUUAUCACAUUCCUACAUCUUCAUUUUAUAUAAAAUGCUUGUAGUUAUAUAAUAUAUGUCAGGUUAAAUGGUAAUAAAUUUUGUUUCUGUGUAAAUAUCUUGCUUUUUGAAAAAUGAAAAUGAUACAUUCAGUGGCCAUCAUCUGUCAAAAAGUUAUUAUAAAUGCCUCAAAACUGAUGAAAAGUUAUGCAGUAACUUUUCACAAGUUCAUGGAAUAACAUACUAUCCAUAACAUUGUAUAGUUUUCCUAACCUGUAUCUGGGGCCAUCAUAAAUUAAUUGCUAGAGUAAAUUUUCUUCACAAGGGAAAGGAAGUUUUUUUUUAAUUUAUUUUUUAUUUCAGAUAUUUUAUUUUUGCUUUAAUGAGGAUGUAAAGAGAAAAACUGACAUAAUUAUAAUAGUUAUUUUUGUCAAAUGGAUUUGAUUAUAAGCAAUAAUAACUGAAAGUUGAUAAUUUAUAACAUUCUUUAUAGAAAUAUUCCAUAGAUGAUCUUGGAAACUAAAAAUAGUGGAUGAUAAUGGAUGAUAAUCUAAGUUGAUGAUAAUCUAACAAUUAAUAUAGUAUGGCCAUACAAAUAUAAAUCAAUAAAUACUUACUGGCAAUAAUAUUGGUUAAUUAUGA
This is a long non-coding RNA of Mercenaria mercenaria, 1358 nucleotides long. RefSeq lists it as uncharacterized. NCBI's taxonomy places the organism in Eukaryota, Metazoa, Mollusca, Bivalvia, Venerida, Veneridae. The record is from RefSeq and is a predicted model, not a curated record. The transcript is spliced from 4 exons.